UACGUAGGGGGCUAGCGUUGUCCGGAAUCAUUGGGCGUAAAGCGCGUGUAGGCGGCCCGGUAAGUCCGCUGUGAAAGCCGGGGGCUCAACCCUCGAAUGCCGGUGGAUACUGUCGGGCUAGAGUGCGGAAGAGGCGAGUGGAAUUCCUGGUGUAGCGGUGAAAUGCGCAGAUAUCAGGAGGAACACCAAUUGCGAAGGCAGCUCGCUGGGACGUAACUGACGCUGAGACGCGAAAGCGUGGGGAGCAAACAGG
This 253-nucleotide ribosomal RNA is filed under the name uncultured bacterium. RNAcentral describes it as "partial 16S ribosomal RNA". It matches the Rfam family "Bacterial small subunit ribosomal RNA", at positions 524 to 776 of the family's 1533-position model. The record is from RNAcentral.